ACACACGGCGGGUGCUAACGUCCGUCGUGAAGAGGGAAACAACCCAGACCGCCAGCUAAGGUCCCAAAGUCAUGGUUAAGUGGGAAACGAUGUGGGAAGGCCCAGACAGCCAGGAUGUUGGCUUAGAAGCAGCCAUCAUUUAAAGAAAGCGUAAUAGCUCACUGGUCGAGUCGGCCUGCGCGGAAGAUGUAACGGGGCUAAACCAUGCACCGAAGCUGCGGCAGCGACGCUUAUGCGUUGUUGGGUAGGGGAGCGUUCUGUAAGCCUGUGAAGGUGUGCUGUGAGGCAUGCUGGAGGUAUCAGAAGUGCGAAUGCUGACAUAAGUAACGAUAAAGCGGGUGAAAAGCCCGCUCGCCGGAAGACCAAGGGUUCCUGUCCAACGUUAAUCGGGGCAGGGUGAGUCGACCCCUAAGGCGAGGCCGAAAGGCGUAGUCGAUGGGAAACAGGUUAAUAUUCCUGUACUUGGUGUUACUGCGAAGGGGGGACGGAGAAGGCUAUGUUGGCCGGGCGACGGUUGUCCCGGUUUAAGCGUGUAGGCUGGUUUUCCAGGCAAAUCCGGAAAAUCAAGGCUGAGGCGUGAUGACGAGGCACUACGGUGCUGAAGCAACAAAUGCCCUGCUUCCAGGAAAAGC
This 632-nucleotide ribosomal RNA is filed under the name Escherichia coli. Its description in RNAcentral is "partial 23S ribosomal RNA". It matches the Rfam family "Bacterial large subunit ribosomal RNA", at positions 984 to 1618 of the family's 2925-position model. Lineage: Bacteria; Pseudomonadati; Pseudomonadota; Gammaproteobacteria; Enterobacterales; Enterobacteriaceae. The record is from RNAcentral.